UCUCCGUAGGUGAACCUGCGGAGGGAUCAUUACAGAGUUCAUGCCCUACCGGGUAGAUCUCCCACCCUAUGUUAUUAUUACUUUGUUGCUUUGGCGGGCCGUUAGGCUCUGGCCCGACUACCGGCCCCGGCUGGUAAGCGCCCGCCAGAGGACCCAAAACCCUGAAUAUUAGUGUCGUCUGAGUACUAUAUAAUAGUUAAAACUUUCAACAACGGAUCUCUUGGUUCUGACAUCGAUGAAGAACGCAGC
RNAcentral lists this unclassified non-coding RNA (249 nucleotides) under plant metagenome. RNAcentral describes it as "partial contains small subunit ribosomal RNA, internal transcribed spacer 1, and 5.8S ribosomal RNA". The stretch from base 201 to 249 matches the Rfam family "5.8S ribosomal RNA", at positions 1 to 49 of the family's 154-position model. The record is from RNAcentral.